GCUGGCUUUCCAAGAUCGGCGGCUGGAUGCCGAUCUCUAGGGCCCCAGGAAAAGAAGGAAGUGAAGUGUUGGAGCAGAGCCAGAGGAGGGUCACAAAGAUUCUUAGAGGGCUGGAGCAUCUCUGCUGUGAAGACAGGGUGGAAAGAGCCAUCAUAUCUCUGUCUCCUACCUCUAGUACAGCUGACUCUCUGAUCUGCACUUAAUCUGACCCAAGAUAACUAUAAAAUUUCUGGAAAUUGAUGCUAUUUGAAAAAGUGACCACCUCUGAGCUAACUUUUGAGCUCACUUCUGCAUGGCCAUAUCCACAGGAGAGAGCUGGGGAUUCAGUAACAUUGCAUGGGAGACAUGGGAGCCUAAAGCACUGGAUCUACAAUACACAUCUUGCUAACCAAAGCAUCACCUUAUCUGGACAGCUGGAAAUGCAGCACUGAGCCGUGUUUUAAGAUUAUCAAAUAAAAUUAGUCUUUUGGUGUUGCAGAAGUCUCAACCUCUUUUGGAAUUAAGUGCCUAAGGCAGCUCUUGCUCACAAGUGGCACCAAGUUGUGGACCCUUCUGUCCAGAUCACUCCUUCUGGAGCCUCCCUCUUUGCUUCAUAAUAGCUUGUGAACUCUGCUUCUGUCCCCUGGUCCCCACCAGAUGAUGAGAAUAUCUAGACAGGAAAUUCUUAGUCUUUCCUGCUUAAGCUGUUCUGCUUUCUAUGGACUCUACUGGGCCAGAGAGGACACCAAAGUGCCUAUUUUCAUACUAAUCUGUGUUAGGUACCCUUAAUUACUUACACUUAUGUCACUCCUGUAUUAAGUACUUAUAAAUGUUUGCAUACCAUAAAGCCUGGACCUCCAGAGACAUUGCAACUACAAAAGGCAUGCAAAGGAGAGCACUUCAGGUAAUCUCAUUACACUGGAUUACAAUCACUUCGUUUCAGAAUUUUCAUUUAUUUCUUUAAACUGAAUUUCACUUCGUUAUAUGUUCACUCCAGUCAGUUUGUUUCACUUUGUUCUCUGACUUCGAGAUUUUAUUUCCUUUCAUAUAAGGAAAUUCUUCAUUUCAUGAAGGGAAAUGAAAUAUUGUGAUUUCAAUGAAGAUCCAUUCGACAACGUUUGGUCCAUUUCCCUGCACUUGAAAUAUUGAAAUCAGAGAAUAAAGUGUGAUAAACACUAGGGAAAGGAGAUAUGAUGAAAUAAAAUGAAAUUUAAAAAAAUAAAAGAAAGAAAAUUCAGAAAUGGAGUGACUAAAACCAUACAGAUUGCGGUGAAAUGAAGUGCAGUGAAAUGAGGUGCAGUGAAAAGGAACAAAAUUUGGCAGAACUAUACUUACUGAAAUCCCAAAAUCCGGACAUGAAAUUAAAAAAAAAAAAAGACAAGAGAUAAAAUUAAUGAAAUAAAAUGCUAAAAAAAAAAAAAGGAAAAUUUUGCAAUGAAGUGAAAACAGUGAAAGCCAAUAGGAUUAUAUGAACAGCAGGCAGUGGCUCAAAGUGUGCUGCUGCCUUCUGAAAUAGUGAACAUGGUAGGACUUCUCCUGGACCAAAGCUGCCACCACCUAAAUUUCUGGCUGCCCUUGGAGCUCCAAAUGCCACCUCUGAGCUGACCCCAAGACACUGGGGAAACGAGUUGUUUUUCCCAUGGAAGAUGUCCACUGUUCGCCUCCAGUCGCACUGGCCCACCGUGGGGUGCCAUCUCCUUAAUUCACAAACCAUGCAGCAUUGCUCUCAGAACAAAGCUGCCAGGUUCUAGGACUGUGGCUGUCCUUGGAUCCCCAGACACCUCCUCUGAGCUGACCCUGAGACACUGGGGGCUGAGUACUGUUUUCCUUUGGAAAGGGACCGGUUCUCAUCCAGGCAUUGGAAGUCCAGGGAGAUGGACCAAACCUUGCCAAAUUAAUCCUCAUUUAAUUCUCAAGUAUUCAUUUCCUCUCAUUAAAUGAAGAAUGUCUUUCAAUUAAAUGUAAUAAAAUCUUGAAUUCUGAAAAGAAAGUGUAACAAACUCUG
Prinia subflava (tawny-flanked prinia) is the source of this 1984-nucleotide long non-coding RNA. RefSeq lists it as uncharacterized. The record is from RefSeq and is a predicted model, not a curated record. Lineage: Eukaryota; Metazoa; Chordata; Aves; Passeriformes; Cisticolidae. The transcript has 3 exons.